CCCUACGGGACGCAGCAGUGAGGAAUAUUGGUCAAUGGGCGAGAGCCUGAACCAGCCAAGUCGCGUGAGGGAAGACGGUCCUAUGGAUUGUAAACCUCUUUUGCCGGGGAGCAAAAAGCGGUACGUGUACCGCAUCGAGGGUACCCGGAGAAAAAGCAUCGGCUAACUCCGUGCCAGCAGCCGCGGUAAUACGGAGGAUGCGAGCGUUAUCCGGAUUUAUUGGGUUUAAAGGGUGCGCAGGCGGCGAGUUAAGUCAGCGGUAAAAUUUCGGGGCUCAACCUCGACGAGCCGUUGAAACUGGCUUG
This 305-nucleotide ribosomal RNA is filed under the name uncultured bacterium. RNAcentral describes it as "bacterial SSU rRNA". It matches the Rfam family "Bacterial small subunit ribosomal RNA", at positions 337 to 640 of the family's 1533-position model. The record is from RNAcentral.